GUCUGCCAGUAGCUCGGCAGAUUCGGCCGGGUGCUGCUCGAGGUAGCGCUGGUAGACAGCCAGGUUCGGCUGCCCGGUGACGUGCA
This 86-nucleotide transfer RNA is filed under the name Pseudomonas putida. RNAcentral describes it as "tRNA-Ser(cga)". Lineage: Bacteria; Pseudomonadati; Pseudomonadota; Gammaproteobacteria; Pseudomonadales; Pseudomonadaceae. The record is from RNAcentral.